UUGCGAAAGAGAAGAAAAAAUUUAAGGUGUCCCGCGUCUUUAUCGUGAGAUUCUAUCGCGUGCUCGCAUCAAGUAUUCUGACCCUGUUAAGCUUUACGAAGGAAGACCCGGCUAUAUCACAGAGGUUUAUAUCUUCGAAGCGAGGUUACGGAUAUCGUGUCUGCGCGAUGGUGAGUAGAAAAUGUCAAAGUAUGCUAGAAACGAGAGAGAGAGAGAGAGAUCACGUUCGAAAGCAUCGGCGAAAACAUAUAUGUAACGAUUACUGUCCACGAGCUGCAAGGCGCUCGAAAGCAGAUCAAAUAAAGGUAAUACGACGUCGCAAACACGACCAUUCAAUUAUUCGCGGCGCAAAGUUCGCUUCGAUGGCAGCGACACCAUCUCGAGUCCCCUUCUCUCUUGCCUUCCCUACCUGACGACGUCCACAAUUACAACGCUCUAGCAUCGAAACAUUUUUACACGC
This is a long non-coding RNA of Nylanderia fulva, 460 nucleotides long. RefSeq lists it as uncharacterized. The record is from RefSeq and is a predicted model, not a curated record. NCBI's taxonomy places the organism in Eukaryota, Metazoa, Arthropoda, Insecta, Hymenoptera, Formicidae.